GAUAUGGCCCAGGAUGAACGCUAGCGACAGGCUUAACACAUGCAAGUCGAGGGGCAGCAUGAUUUGUAGCAAUACAGAUUGAUGGCGACCGGCGCACGGGUGAGUAACGCGUAUGCAACUUACCUAUCAGAGGGGGAUAGCCCGGCGAAAGUCGGAUUAAUACCCCAUAAAACAGGGGUCCCGCAUGGGAAUAUUUGUUAAAGAUUCAUCGCUGAUAGAUAGGCAUGCGUUCCA
This 234-nucleotide ribosomal RNA is filed under the name uncultured bacterium. Its description in RNAcentral is "partial 16S ribosomal RNA". It matches the Rfam family "Bacterial small subunit ribosomal RNA", at positions 15 to 240 of the family's 1533-position model. The record is from RNAcentral.